This 2455-nucleotide long non-coding RNA is filed under the name Macaca fascicularis (crab-eating macaque). RNAcentral's name for it is "lncRNA (ENSMFAG00000062436.1)". Lineage: Eukaryota; Metazoa; Chordata; Mammalia; Primates; Cercopithecidae. The record is from RNAcentral.
CUUGAGCAAGGUGUAACUGGAAAGUGUUAGGUUGAGCCAUAUAAAAAUGCUAAUAUAUCUUUGACCUAGAAGAAAUUUCAUAUGGCUCAGUCUAGUAUUAUAGCUGCCUUUUGUUCUUUUGUUUUCUAACAAACAGCUGAACCUAAACAGAUGGGUGUAGUUUUAUUAGUCAUCCAGAUUGUUUAUCAGUAUUUAGUUGUUUGACAUUUAAUACCUAACUUUCUGCUUUAUGUCACAUCUUUAACAGGUUCUUGUCAUUUCCCCUAACUUCUCCCAAGUUGGUUGUUGGUUUCUUGAGAGCGAAACCAGCAUUGCAUGUUGUAUGUUAUAAAAACAACACUAAUGACAUUUGUUAAGUUCUUACAAUGUGCCAAGCACUACUCUAAGCAUUUUACAUGUAAUAAUCCACUUACGCCCUCUGUGUUUGUAAGUGUGAUAACUAAGGUAUAUGAUGUUAAUAAAGUACCCCAGGUUACACCGGUAGUAGCAGAGCCGAGACUUGAACUCAAGACUAGUUCCAAAGCCCACGGUCCAGUGCAUUAUACUGUACUGCCUUUCACCAUAGGAAUAUAGAUAUUUCUGGACUAUUCAGAGGUUCCCUGACUUGUACUAAAUGUCUUUGUUGACUUCAUUUCAAAAACUCAACAUUCAUUCAACACAUUUUGAGUGCCUGGUAUGAUUUAGGCACUGUGUCUUAUAUUGCCAAUUAUCUGUAUCACAUAAAUUAAGCUGCUCAGUGGCCCAGACCUGAAUAUGGCACACUGCCUUCCCUUAGGAUUUUAUGAUUUGGUAUAGAUAAAUAAGCAGAUAAUUUUAAUAUGUAAUGACAGGUAAGAACAAAAUACUAAAAGCACAGAGGAGCGAUUUCUUGCUUAUUUCAAGAAAGCCCAUGCAAACAGGACUUUUGAAUUGUGGUUUUAUGUCGUAUUGGUGGAAUGCUGGGGUAGGGAAGCAUCCAGGUUUCAGGAAGAGCAUUUGCAAAGGCUGGGAGGUGUAAGGAACCCAGAGGAAAUGUUUUGGUGCUAAAGGAGAGGAUGGCUAAAGAGAGAUGAGGCUGUAGAGAUUGUUGGGCCAUCUGAGGGUCUUCAUACACUCAGAAUGCACUAUAGGCUGUUCAAUGGCUGUUAGAAAAACACUAAGAAGGUUUUGCUAGCUAAAGCACAUCUGUUACUGGAAAAGGGGUCCCGAUCCAGACCCCAAGAGAGGGUUCUUGGAUCUCAUGCAAGAAAGAAUUCUCAAUCCAUAAAGUGAAAGCAAGUUUAUUAAGUAAGUAAAGGAAUGAAGAAUGGCUACUCCAUAGGUAGAGCAGCCCCGAGGGCUGGUGGUUGUCCAUUUUUAUGGUUAUUUCUUGAUUGUAUGCUAAACAAGGAAUGGAUUAUCCAUGCCUCCCUUUUUUAGACCGUUUAUGGUAACUUCCUGAUGUUGCCAUGGCAUUUGUAAACUGUCGUGUCGUUGGUGGGAGCGUAGCAGUGAGGAUGACCAGAGGUCACUCGCAUCGCCAUCUUGGUUUUGGUGGGUUUUAGCUUACUACUUUACUGCAACCAGUUUUAUCAGCAAGGUCUUUAUGGCCUGUGUCUUGUUCCGACCUCCUAUCUCAUCCUGUGACUUAGAAUGCCUAAUUUGGGAAUGCAGCCCAGCAGGUCUCAGUCUUAAUUUUACCUAGCCCCUCUUCAAGAUGGAGUUGCUCUGUUCAGAUGCCUCUGACAUACCCAAUUUCUAUUAAAUAUGAGUAGAUUUUGUACUUUAAAUGAACAGACUUUUAAAUAUAUUUUCUAAAUGAAAAUUUAAGAGAAAAAAGUACUGGUGUGGUGUCGCUUGUUUUUUGAGAAUACAGACCAUACCAGUGUUUAAACAACCAGUUUCUGUUUUUCAGUUUUCUGUGAUUCUCAAAGUGCAAUCCGAGACCAGAGGAGUCAGCAUGGGGAUCACAUGGGAACUCACUGGAAAUGCAAAUUUCAGACCCCACCCCAGACCUAUUGAGUCAGAAACUCUGGGGUGGGGCUCAGCAAUCUAUUUUAACAAGUCCUCCGGGUAUUUCUGAUGCACACUAAGAUUGGAGAAACACUGGUCUAAGUCAGUCUUCAUGCCAUACCAACAUGAUCUAAGUAGAGUGCUUUUCUGGGAUUUUGGGACAGGGUCAAGUAAGCACCAUUUAAAAAUCAAUGAUUAAUGCCAAAUGCGGUGGCUCAAGCCUGUAAUCCCAGCACUUUGGGAGGCCAAGGUGGGCGGAUCAUGAGAUCAGGAGUUUGAGACCAGCCUGGCCAACAUGUUGAAACCCCAUCUCUACUAAAAAUACAAAAAGCCAGGUGUGGUGUACACCUGUAAUCCCAGCUACUUAGGAGGCUGAGGCAGACUUGCUUGAAUCUGUCAGGCAGAAGUUGCAGUGAGCUAAGAUGGCACAACUGCACUUUAGCCUGGGUGACAGCAAGACUCCAUCUCAAAAAAAAAAAAAAAA